UACGAAGGGGGCUAGCGUUGCUCGGAAUCACUGGGCGUAAAGGGCGCGUAGGCGGGGAUGUAAGUCGGGCGUGAAAUCCCCAGGCUCAACCUGGGAACUGCACUCGAAACUGCGUUUCUUGAGUAUCGGAGAGGAAAGCGGAAUUCCUGGUGUAGAGGUGAAAUUCGUAGAUAUCAGGAGGAACACCAGUGGCGAAGGCGGCUUUCUGGACGGUAACUGACGCUGAGGCGCGAAAGCGUGGGGAGCAAACAGG
Molecule: ribosomal RNA, 253 nt
Filed under: uncultured bacterium
Lineage: Bacteria
Description: partial 16S ribosomal RNA
Rfam family: Bacterial small subunit ribosomal RNA
Source: RNAcentral